GACGAGCGCUGGCGGCGUGCCUAAUACAUGCAAGUAGAACGCUGAAGGAGGAGCUUGCUUCUCUGGAUGAGUUGCGAACGGGUGAGUAACGCGUAGGUAACCUGCCUGGUAGCGGGGGAUAACUAUUGGAAACGAUAGCUAAUACCGCAUAAUAGUAGAUGUUGCAUGACAUUUGCUUAAAAGGUGCAAUUGCAUCACUACCAGAUGGACCUGCGUUGUAUUAGCUAGUUGGUGAGGUAACGGCUCACCAAGGCGACGAUACAUAGCCGACCUGAGAGGGUGAUCGGCCACACUGGGACUGAGACACGGCCCAGACUCCUACGGGAGGCAGCAGUAGGGAAUCUUCGGCAAUGGACGGAAGUCUGACCGAGCAACGCCGCGUGAGUGAAGAAGGGUGUCGGAUCGGAAAGCUCUGUUGUAAGAGAAGAACGAGGGUGAGAGUGGAAAGUUCACACUGUGACGGUAUCUGAACAGAAAGGGACGGCUAACUACGUG
RNAcentral lists this ribosomal RNA (495 nucleotides) under uncultured bacterium. Its description in RNAcentral is "partial 16S ribosomal RNA". It matches the Rfam family "Bacterial small subunit ribosomal RNA", at positions 28 to 507 of the family's 1533-position model. The record is from RNAcentral.